This 1191-nucleotide long non-coding RNA is filed under the name Mus musculus (house mouse). RNAcentral describes it as "long non-coding RNA chr1:128109454-128110645". Lineage: Eukaryota; Metazoa; Chordata; Mammalia; Rodentia; Muridae. The record is from RNAcentral.
UGCUACCUAUCUCACUCCCUUCCUCCCUUUCUCCUUCCUUCUUUCCUUCCUUCCUUUGUUCCUUGGUUCAUUACAUUACAGCUUUUGUUUUCCAACUCCUCUUCUUACAAACUCAAAAGAAUCUAUGUGUCAGUCAUCAAAACUGUUCUUUGGUUGGUUUCUGAAAUGUGAUUUUAUCAAGAGGCUAUUCAUUAAAUAAUAAAAUAUUUUAUUUACCCCUUUUGAGAUGGGAACCUGUCAUCAUUUUUGUACCCAUGUUUAUUCAGCUAUUUAAAAAAUUAUCUACUAGACAGGUGGUGAUGGUUGUACCCCUUUAAUCCCAGCACUCAGAAAGCACAGGCAGGCAGAUUUCUAAAUUUCAAGGCCAAGCCUGGUCUACACAUCUGGUUCAAGGACAGCCAGGGAUACACACACAAAAAAAACCCUGUCUCCAAAAGAAAAAAGAAAAAAAUGAUUUACUUUAAAAUUUUUAUGUGGAAAAAAAAACCAAAAAUUUUAUGUGAAUAUGUUGUGUACUUAAUAUGAAUUUAUAUGCACCAAGUAUGUGCAAUAUCCUGUGGCACCAGGAAAGGACAUUGAAUCUUGAAGAACUGGAAUUACAGGUGGUUGUUUGUAAGCCACCAUGUGGGUACUGGGGACUGAACCUAUGUCCUCUGCCAGAGUAAAUGGUGCUCUUAACUGCUGAGACAUCUCUGUAGCCCCAUAUCUAGUUUUUGUCUCAACAUUUUUUUCAAAAGUUUGGGAGUGGUUGUAGGGGGGCUAUGAGGGAUUCGUUGGGGGUCAGGUAGGGGGGAGUUUGUUGAACUGUCUCAGUACUGUGGUUGGAAAUUUGUUGACCAAAAAUGAGGAUGUUAGCACACUGUAAGUUUUAAAAGAGUUUUAAAAUGCUAAAACUGUUUAAAUGUCUUGAAAGAGGGGAUUGUUUGACUGUUCAAGGUCCCCUACCCCAUGUGUAUUUUAUUACCAUAUCUCUCUUAAUCAGUAAUAACUUUCUUAAGAAUCCAGCUUGAGCCGGGUGUGGUGGCGCACGCCUUUAAUCCCAGCACUCGGGAGGCAGAGGCAGGCGGAUUUCUGAGUUUGAGGCCAGCCUGGUCUACAAAGUGAGUGCCAGGACAGCCAGGGCUACACAGAGAAACCCUGUCUCGAAAAACCAAAAAAACAAAACAAAACAAACAAACAAAAAAGAAACCC